Molecule: ribosomal RNA, 481 nt
Filed under: uncultured bacterium
Lineage: Bacteria
Description: bacterial SSU rRNA
Rfam family: Bacterial small subunit ribosomal RNA
Source: RNAcentral
CUACGUGCCAGCAGCCGCGGUAAUACGGAAGGUCCAGGCGUUAUCCGGAUUUAUUGGGUUUAAAGGGAGCGUAGGCCGUGGAUUAAGCGUGUUGUGAAAUGUAGACGCUCAACGUCUGAAUUGCAGCGCGAACUGGUUCACUUGAGUAUGCGCAACGUAGGCGGAAUUCGUCGUGUAGCGGUGAAAUGCUUAGAUAUGACGAGGAACUCCGAUUGCGAAGGCAGCUUACGGGAGCACAACUGACGCUGAAGCUCGAAGGUGCGGGUAUCAAACAGGAUUAGAUACCCUGGUAGUCCGCACAGUAAACGAUGGAUGCCCGCUGUUGGUACUUGGUAUCAGCGGCUAAGCGAAAGCAUUAAGCAUCCCACCUGGGGAGUACGCCGGCAACGGUGAAACUCAAAGGAAUUGACGGGGGCCCGCACAAGCGGAGGAACAUGUGGUUUAAUUCGAUGAUACGCGAGGAACCUUACCCGGGCUUGAA